This 880-nucleotide long non-coding RNA is filed under the name Lepisosteus oculatus (spotted gar). Its description in RNAcentral is "lncRNA (ENSLOCG00000022278.1)". The record is from RNAcentral. Lineage: Eukaryota; Metazoa; Chordata; Actinopteri; Semionotiformes; Lepisosteidae.
AGAACCUGCAGCACGCAGUUUUUCUAAUUAUCAUAAGUACUAAAUGUAUUUUAAAUGAAGGAAUACUAAUUUUGUUAAAGGCUUAAACCUUUACGAGAAAUUACAUUUUAGAAAAACGAAUAGUGGGAAAACUGUUGACUCGUUUAUUUCUGUUGACUUAUUUAUAUAUUAUUUGUGCAAACGUGCAUUUAAACGUCCGUGUUUACGCAGUCGAGGACCAAAAGUAAUGUACAGUAUGCUAUCGCUUAUAAAUAGUUUUAUCAAACAUUAUACUCUUGUAGUGGCAUAAUAUUUGUAGAUCGUUGUCCUGAAGGCAGCCGAGCAGCAGCUUCACCUUUUGGCCCAAUUGGUGCGGCCGGCUCCACGCCAGGCAUUUCAGGUUGCUCGUGUCCUUAGAUUGGAUGGGAGUGCCUUCGGAGAGAAGAUCAGGGUUCCCCCCUCCCGCUGUAACCCCCCCCUUUCCCCCAGCAGCACAGACAAAGCCUGUGAUAUCAUGCCCUAUUCCCCGUGGCUGCUAGAUUCUGUGGGGAGAGACUCUUCCAACAGCACAGAGCUGCUCUUCAAUCUGACUUCAGCGAUCCCUUCUUUCAACACCUCGUUCCUGGACUUGGGCAACCUCACCAGCUUCAAUGCCCUCGGCGGUUCAGCUUCUGCAUUAACCACCUGCAGUUCUCCAGGGUCUCAGCGCGCCAGGGCUACAAUGCAGGGCAGGGCUCUUAGAGACUCGUAAUUGAAUUGAAAAGCACAGCAGAAAUCCACGAAGGCCAUUUCUGAUUCUCCUCCUGCAGCGUCGCUCCAAAAAUAUUGCAGUGUUGAGUUCCGCGUGACGUUUUUGAAGUUCAGCUGGCAGAGCUGUGGAGCUGAAGGGUUUUAAAUUUUG